RNAcentral lists this ribosomal RNA (496 nucleotides) under uncultured bacterium. RNAcentral describes it as "partial 16S ribosomal RNA". It matches the Rfam family "Bacterial small subunit ribosomal RNA", at positions 28 to 506 of the family's 1533-position model. The record is from RNAcentral.
GAUGAACGCUGGCGGCGUGCCUAAUACAUGCAAGUCGAGCGAACGGACGAGAAGCUUGCUUCUCUGAUGUUAGCGGCGGACGGGUGAGUAACACGUGGAUAACCUACCUAUAAGACUGGGAUAACUUCGGGAAACCGUAGCUAAUACCGGAUAAUAUUUUGAACCGCAUGGUUCAAAAGUGAAAGACGGUCUUGCUGUCACUUAUAGAUGGAUCCGCGCUGCAUUAGCUAGUUGGUAAGGUAACGGCUUACCAAGGCAACGAUGCAUAGCCGACCUGAGAGGGUGAUCGGCCACACUGGAACUGAGACACGGUCCAGACUCCUACGGGAGGCAGCAGUAGGGAAUCUUCCGCAAUGGGCGAAAGCCUGACGGAGCAACGCCGCGUGAGUGAUGAAGGUCUUCGGAUCGUAAAACUCUGUUAUUAGGGAAGAACAUAUGUGUAAGUAACGGUGCACAUCUGGACGGUACCUAAGCAGAAAGCCACGGCUAACUACGG